CGGCUGACCGGUCCAACCGUUCCAGUAUCUCAUCUUCUCGACUUGUACUGCCCCCAGCCGAUUGAGAGAGAAAGAGAUGACGAGAGGAAAGCAAAAGAUCGAAGCACAGAAACGAUGCGCAGAGAAGAAUCAGAAAUCAAAAGGGUCUCAGAUUGAAGCUCGGGCCGUCGCCCUUAAAAUCAGUUGUCCCAUUUGCAAGGUUCAGCUAGCAAAUGAAAAUCAACUUGGUGAUCAUUAUGCAUCCAAACAUCCAAAAGAAAAGGCUCCCAGCAGUUCAUAAAGAAGUUUUUUAAUAAAGAUGUUGUCUACCUUAGCCAUGUGAUUGUUAUCCCCUUGCAAAAAUAUAAUGUUUGAUUAAUGUUUCCAACAAUUGACCGAUUGUUUGUAAAUGGUCGCAACUCAAAUUUCAUUUCAUCUUGAUCGAUAGAUUGGUUAUGAUUCUUGAUUUCCAAAAGUGGCUAAUUAUUGUUU
Molecule: long non-coding RNA, 471 nt
Organism: Impatiens glandulifera
Lineage: Eukaryota; Viridiplantae; Streptophyta; Magnoliopsida; Ericales; Balsaminaceae
Exons: 2
Source: RefSeq, a predicted model, not a curated record